CGAAAUGCGAUAAGUAAUGUGAAUUGCAGAAUUCAGUGAAUCAUCGAAUCUUUGAACGCACCUUGCGCUCCUUGGUAUUCCUUGGAGCAUGCCUGUUUGAGUAUCAUGAAAUCUUCAAAGUAAAUCUUUUGUUAACUCAAUUGGUUUCUACUUUGGUAUUGGAGGUCUUUGCAGCUUCACACCUGCUCCUCUUUGUUCAUUAGCUGGAUCUCAGUGUUAUGCUUGGUUCCACUCGGCGUGAUAAGUUAUCUAUCGCUGAGGACACUGUAAAGGGUGGCCAAGGUAAAUGCAGAUGAACCGCUUCUAAUAGUCCAUUGACUUGGACAAUACUUUUAUGAUCUGAUCUCAAAUCAGGUAGGACUACCCGCUGAACUUAAGC
Molecule: unclassified non-coding RNA, 379 nt
Filed under: plant metagenome
Description: partial contains 5.8S ribosomal RNA, internal transcribed spacer 2, and large subunit ribosomal RNA
Rfam family: 5.8S ribosomal RNA (bases 1-106)
Source: RNAcentral